Molecule: ribosomal RNA, 379 nt
Filed under: uncultured Bacteroidota bacterium
Lineage: Bacteria; Pseudomonadati; Bacteroidota
Description: bacterial SSU rRNA
Rfam family: Bacterial small subunit ribosomal RNA
Source: RNAcentral
GGAUCCAGACUUUGAUCCUGGCUCAGGAUGAACGCUAGCUACAGGCUUAACACAUGCAAGUCGAGGGGAAACGAUAUUGGAAGCUUGCUUCCGAUAGGCGUCGACCGGCGCACGGGUGAGUAACGCGUAUCCAACCUGCCCACCACUUGGGGAUAACCUUGCGAAAGUAAGACUAAUACCCAAUGAUAUCUCUAGAAGACAUCUGAAAGGGAUUAAAGAUUUAUCGGUGAUGGAUGGGGAUGCGUCUGAUUAGCUUGUUGGCGGGGUAACGGCCCACCAAGGCGACGAUCAGUAGGGGUUCUGAGAGGAAGGUCCCCCACAUUGGAACUGAGACACGGUCCAAACUCCUACGGGAGGCAGCAGUGAGGGAUAUUGGUCA